RNAcentral lists this unclassified non-coding RNA (203 nucleotides) under Hevea brasiliensis (rubber tree). The record is from RNAcentral. Lineage: Eukaryota; Viridiplantae; Streptophyta; Magnoliopsida; Malpighiales; Euphorbiaceae.
GAGGAUUGCUAAUUACGUAUUUUAUUAGCUCAACUUGUAUGAUGUAAGCUAGUCACAAUUCAGUUGGCUACUUAAUAAGAAAGUGAACUGUGACUAAACUAAAGCAUGUUCAGAGAAGCCUGGCUUCUUUGGUUCCAUCAAUUAUCUUGAGUUCUUUGUCAUCCAUUGCUGCUGUAGGGAUGUGUCUGCAAUCUAGCUAGUCU